UUGGGAGGUAGAGGCAGGAGGAUGACUUCGAGGGUAGUCAUGAACUACAAAAGAAAACCAAGCUAUUGCUGCUAUCUGAAAUAGGCUUUCCUCAGUGGCAUGCAAAGACGGGAACCUGGCCUUCUCUUGCUAAAAUUCCUUCCCAGGGGAAGAGACAAGCCACAUCAUCUACCCCUUCCCCUAAGGUCCCAACAACAAACUGAGGCACAAUUCUGCCAGAAUUCAUUCUGACAGAACCAGUGGAUGUAUUGUGCUUGUUUGUAGAGCACAGCAGAAGCAAAGCAAAGUCCCUUCUGGAAUGGCUCAGCUCAUCAGAGCAACCCUAGGAAAGUCCUUUCUGGAAUGGCUCAGCUCAUCAGAGCAAUCCUAGGAAAACUGAACAAAACACAAAAUAAAGCAGGAGAGGAAGCAAAAUGAAAAAGUGAACAAGCAAGCAAAAAAAAGACCAGAAAUGUUUUGAAGAUUAGCUUGUAAGUUGGGAAAACUGUUAGUGAUAAAAUGCUUUAGUGUGAAACUAUAAGAAACAUCAGUUGUUUUAAGUCACAUUUCUCUAAAAAAUGAGCAUUGAAUAAUAGAAAAGAAAUGACAA
Long non-coding RNA from Psammomys obesus (fat sand rat), 589 nucleotides. RefSeq lists it as uncharacterized. The record is from RefSeq and is a predicted model, not a curated record. NCBI's taxonomy places the organism in Eukaryota, Metazoa, Chordata, Mammalia, Rodentia, Muridae. The transcript is spliced from 3 exons.